Molecule: long non-coding RNA, 1070 nt
Organism: Dama dama (fallow deer)
Lineage: Eukaryota; Metazoa; Chordata; Mammalia; Artiodactyla; Cervidae
Exons: 3
Source: RefSeq, a predicted model, not a curated record
AGGCCUUCACUCUCCGCCUGCAUCUCCUCAUCUCUUUUCUCCUCAGUCUGAGGAGACUGGCUUUCCCCUCCCCGACUCCACCUUCCUGGGCAAGCCCCGACCUGUGAUUCAACUCAACUCGGGUGCUCCCGCCUGUGGGAACAUAUCCGCUCAGCAGACAAUAGAACAUUGUUGGGAAGAACAAGAGCUUUGGGGAAUCAUUCUAGCCUAGAGUUCCCACUUUCUGAGAGACAGAAACCAUGAGAAAUAGAAAGUGCUGAGAACUUGAACUCUGCUAUUUCAGGGUGGAGCAGGACAUACCAUUCCACUCUGUGAAGAAGACUUGCUGACUUUUUGUAGCUGAGAAAACACUGGAGUCCUGUGUGAUUGGUGGGGCAAAUCUUACGGCUUAUGAGGGAAAUUCUGUUUCCUUUACUCUCCUUAAUUGUUUUCAAACUCAGCUCAGAAACUCGCAGCAACGAUCCGCGAUGAGAUCCCAUGGUUGCUUUCUUUUCCCCUUAUAUUUGGCCUUUCUUUGAAAACACUGUCUUUUUUUUUUUCCAAACUUUAAACUUUUUAUUUUGUACUGGGAUAUCCCCCAUGGCUCAACUUGUAAAGAACUUGACUGCCAACGCAGGAGAUGUGGGAGAUCUCCUGAGACACAGGUUUGAUUCCUGAAUUGGGAAGAUUCCCUGGAGAAGGAAAUAGCAGUAUUCUUGCCUGGAAAAUUCCAUGGACAGAGGAGCCUGGCAGAUUACAGUCCUUGGGGUCACACAUGCACACCCACAGCGGAUUAAUGUUGUGGUGGUUUCAGGAGAACAGCGAAGGGACUCAGCCAUACAUGGACAUGUAUCCAUUCUCCCCCAAACCCCGCUCCCAUCCAGGCUGACAAGUCACACUGAGUGGAGUUCCAUGUGCUAUGCAAUAGGUCCUUGUUGGUUAUCCAUCUUGAAUAUAGCAGUGUGUAUAUGACCUUCCCAAACUCCCUGCCAAUGUUUUCAAAAUAAGGUUUCCGUGGGAUUUUUACCUGCUUUUCUUUUUCUUUCUUUCUUCCUUUCUUCAUUCCUUCAUUUCUUCCUUUCUUAGGUUUU